Daphnia magna is the source of this 4606-nucleotide long non-coding RNA. RefSeq lists it as uncharacterized. Lineage: Eukaryota; Metazoa; Arthropoda; Branchiopoda; Diplostraca; Daphniidae. The record is from RefSeq and is a predicted model, not a curated record. The transcript has 13 exons.
GACAUAAAGACCAGAAUCGUAGUGAGUGUUUCCAAACAUGGCAUCUGGUGGUCGAAAUGUGAAGUUUGCUUGCUCUUUGCAGCUUUUUUAAAAGUGAUUUGCACUCUGCACUCUGCACUCUGCACUUUUGCAGUAGCAGUACCCCGAUGGUGAGGUUGAUGUGUGGUCGGCAUUUUCGAAUGAUCAAAACCAAGUCGGUUGAUUUUUCAAAAACCAUCCUGACAUGGUUAUUUCAAUCCUGAGUAGGUAGGAUGAAUUCUCCUCAAUGUGCCUUUCCUGUCGCAGCAUUUAUUUGUUUCUAUGCAGCUAGAGUUUAAUUUUCAAGUGACUUCUGAGUUGCUUCAUAUGAUUACUAAGACCAGUAUGUGCCUACUCACAGUUCACCUGUCCAGUAUUGGCAAUUAUGGGAUUCCUGAAAGCCAUCUUCCUUUAUGGAGCAACAUGUCCCGAUGACAGAAGAUUUUGAUUUUUGGGUUGGAUCUGGCAACGUUUUCUAGUGUAUCCAUUAUCCUGGUGCGGUAUCAAGUGGAAUGGAAGUACAGCAGCACAUUACAACGAAAACUAUUGAAUUUCCAGACUUAGUUUUUUCCAAGGAAUUCACCGUUUCUUAGUUUUUUCCAAGGAAUUCACCGUUUUUUACCAGUGAGGAUAUGAUUAUUGCAGUUCUUGUUACCAUUGCAGCAGCUGUUUUCUUGUCAUGUACACACCGCAAUAUCUCCUUCACUAGUAACCUCCAGAUGGGUUUCAUAAUUGUUUGUAGAUCUCUUACCAUGGAUGUUGAAGUCGACCCUGGUGUGUCGGUCUGCAGCAAGGCCCCCGACCUAUGGAGAAGCCCCAACCCUAACCCAACCAAGAAGAAGCAAAGAUCAAUUGCGUUGCGUCUGGCACACUUAGACCCUGAACAGAACACUUGGCGCCAUAAGUGGCUGACUCAAAAGUACAAUCCCAGAAUUGACUGAAGCAUUACCUAAGCUCUGUGGAAUCCCACCUGGUAACAUGAUUGUAGCAUUCGUUCGUCAAGCCUUCACGAACGAAAGCAGCAAUUAUGAAAUCAGCAUUAGCAAAGCAGCUUGAGCGUGAUGUUAUGCUAUAAGUGCUCAGUUGUAUUGAUUGCUAUGGAUCUACGUAUGAGCUACCGGAAAUGCUUGGGACACCGAACGCUUGCUGUGUUCGGUGUUCCCUUCAUUAGUCAAGUGUCUUGGGAAGAAUAAUUCAUGGGGCUUCUAAAUUGCCCUAUGCCCUACAAAACGAGCGACUAACCAUACCUAGUAGGCGACGUCAGGAUCGUAUAUUUAUCAAGGGCAAUGACCACCUCCUGAGUGGUUUUACGUACAAAUCGGAUGUAUUCGGAUUGGAGUUGGCUGGUUGCUUGAAAAAAGAAGAUUUCAGUCGUCACCUUGGGUUGCAUUGUAUUGAUUGGUGCAUAGCAGAUACUAUGUCUUUAGAUACAAAUAACAUGCCAUAGCCUUUGUGGCCUAAUGGAUAAGGCACCGGCUUCCUAAGCCGUGGAUUGGAACUUCAUUUCUCGCCAGAGAUAUUUAUAUCGGUGUGUAAUACUAGGCCAAAGCAGCGUAACGAAAUAUGUUUUAUAUAGAGUUACUCUCGAUUACUUAAAUAAGGUUGCAUAAUUUAGAUCUAUUGCAAAAAGAAGACGAAGACUAAAACCACAAACGCUGGAACAAAAUCUAUUUAUUGUAUCAGUAUCAGGUAGAAAAACAAGUCCAAAUUUCAAUUAUCUUCCAAGUAUAGCGCGCCUUCAGAACUUGAAACGACUUAUUUGAAGACAAAACCUUCAUUUCAACUAAGUUGGCUCACCGUCGUCGAAAAGGUUUGAACAAUCCUUAACACUCGCUGCCAUCGUCAUAAAGUAAUUAAGUUUCGCGGUGAUCCUCAUCUCGAAUUUUUGAUAAGCAUUUUUAAUGAAAUUUAAGUGCGUACCGUCACAGUUUUUCCAAUACAGGCAAACUAAUUCCGUCAAAGAGGAUCAUUGCGAGACAUAAGUUAUUUUGUGUUUGAGAUAGUGCCUAGCAUUGUUCAAAACUCUUCGGCGUCGAUGAACAUCUGCACCUACAGGUUUAUCGACAAGUUCCUUUGAAUUACCAUACAGGGAAAAGGCGUCGCAUCAAAUAGAAAAGGAGUUGAUUCGAUAUCCUGCGGAAUCCCUGUUUGCUUCAUGUAAGACGUUUGAGAGUCGGGAACAAGAGAUAGUAGCCAUUUUGAUUGAUAAUACCUUUUGUUUCUUGACGACUUUUGCGUUAAUAAGCGAAGAUGUUCGGGAACAAGACUCGUGAAAAGCUUUUGGACAUGUGGAAAGAUUAAUGUAAAGAAAAACUCGGGGCAAGUUUGGAGGGAUUGUAGGAAGGAUUGCACAACUAACGUUCAUCGAUUCAUCUUCUAAUUACGGUGUUCUUAUGCUUCCGUCGUUUUUCAAAUUCUCAUAACUUCGCGAAAUUCGUUUUUGACCAGUUGACUACAAUUGGGUUUCGUUUUGCGUUACUAAUGUUUACCUAACGCCUGCUUUUAUCUAAAUCACGUGAACGGGAAUUUUGAAUAAAAAAGAAAUACAGAGAGAAAUCAAAUUGGAAAUCUCGAAGAAAAGUUUGCUUCGUUAUUAGUGGCAGAUUGAUUAGGCUGGAUUGCUAAGCUAGAAUCCUUCCUGCAUGAUAAAAUUUGGAAUGCGACAGUGGACCCCCCGACACCAGAAAUAUGAGAGCUCCCAUCCCAUGGAAUUCUCUGUCGAAAUGUUAUCCAGAAAUGUUUGAAACUUCGUAUUAGGGCCAUUGACAUUAUUUAACGAGGAUGUGGCUACAACAGUUCCCUGACGACAACCGCAUUCGCAGUUGCACCCCAAGAUGUUGCAACGUUCAACCCCCCAGUACGGAGUUCCAGCUGUGCCAUCACGACAACAGCAUUUGGUAACCUUGUAGCAACAAUCGGCACCCACCAGUCCACAUGUAAUAGCGAAAAUAGCGAAAACAACAGAGAUGCUGCACAUGGCGUGGCGAAAACAGACUAUCAAAACGGGUUGUUCGAAAGUAGAAAGCAGUCUACCAUUAAAGGUAAGGCAUUUAUCUAAUGAAAUAUUAAUAAAUUGCAUUUCAGUCAAGUUUGCUAGGCUGGAAAAAAUUCCUUUCGAAUGUGGGGUCCGUGAUGGAUAUUGCAAGAGAAACAUUCUGCAUUCAUGUGUUUUGUGUUUUUUUCUUAUUCGAAAGGAACAGCCUAGGAGAGUACAACAUUUCUGUGUCGAAAGGAUUUCUACUAGAAAUCGGGGAGAAAUAAACAAAAUAAUAAAAAGUUAAAAACCCAUUAAGUUUACUUCUUUUUGUAAAGAAAUGAAUUUGACAUCGCUGUUGAUCAGUUCAGAAAUGAUGAUCAUUCUACUUGUUCAUCUUGAAGGAGUCGUUGCGUUUUAAAGUCUUGAUGAUUCUUUGUUUGGUACUUAUGUGUACUUACUCGUACUUCUUUUGUUGUUUGCACAAGGCAUACAGGGCGAGUUAUCAAGACGACAAUUGCAAGAGUUUUCUGUCUCUGUCUCAUGGUUGUAACCAUUGUAACAAGUGAGAAAGAAAGAAAACGAAAUGAAAAAACGAUCAGCUGGUCGACAUUUCGUAGUCUGGUGGAAAUGCAAAAGCCACGAACUAAUCGCCCAUUGUAAACCAAACGUCUGUCAAUGGCUGUGCUGUGCUUAAAGAAAACAAAAUUCUCUACCCCACUUCCAGGUGAGUUGUUAGAUAUUUCUUCUCUUUCUUUGCAUGUGUAGUUACACCGUGUGUUUAGAGAAACGCCUGAAAUCUUGACGACUCCUAGUCUUUUGGGUGUGAGAUUUGCUAUUUCAAUCGUUUCCGUUUUCCUAAAUUUUUUUAAGAAGACCCCUUAACUAACAUGUAUUUUUAAAAUGCACUAGAUCCACCCUUGCACAGACACAAAUAUUGUCUCCACCUUUCAGUACUUUAUUUUCUUGUCACGUUACAUAUUUUGGCGCCAUUUCUGCUGCAAUCGCAUUAGAGUUGGAGGCCUUUGUUGACAUUGUUUUUUUUUAAAUCUUAGCAACAAGCUCCAAAUGUGCAUCUGUUGUAUGGUGUUUUCCCUUUUAAUCUAGAGCUGACAAAUUCUUUUCUCUCAGAUGUGCUUCUUUAGUGUACCGAGUGUUAAUUAGAACAAAGCAAAGCUGGCGUGGCCACAGUGGUUUCCUUCAUGACAAAUUAAUGUAAUUUUUGAAACAUCUCGGUGAAUUUUCAUAGGGUUUCUAUCGUCUUUUCGUUCCUUUCAUCCAAUCCAAAUGUGAUAUUGUUUUAUGUUUUGUUUUCACUGGAUGUUCAAACUGUUCGUCGGUUUUGUUUCCGUUUUGCUAUCAACUGGAGAACGCAGUCUAUCAGCUGAUCUUAGAACUAUAAUUUAAAAUCAUAGCCUACUUUAAUACUGGCCACAAAGCGUACCCUUCUGUGAGGUCCUAUAUUAGCCACCCAACUACCCUCAGCCGAUGGAGACCACGUACCAAUUAGAUCGGCGUGGCCAUUCUCGAAAAGUAUUGUAUUAUCAUAUUUAUUGUAUAUUUUCGAAUAAAUAUUGUGAAUUGCUUAUGUUCUUAUCACCAUUAGCGGUCAAA